GUGCUCGCUUCGGCAGCACAUACACUAAAAUUGGAAUAAUACAGAGAAGAUUAGCAUGGUGCCUGCUCAAGGAUGACACGCACCUUUGUGAAGCGUUCCAUAUUUUU
Molecule: small nuclear RNA, 107 nt
Organism: Molossus molossus (Pallas's mastiff bat)
Lineage: Eukaryota; Metazoa; Chordata; Mammalia; Chiroptera; Molossidae
Source: RefSeq, a predicted model, not a curated record